Molecule: long non-coding RNA, 864 nt
Organism: Drosophila biarmipes
Lineage: Eukaryota; Metazoa; Arthropoda; Insecta; Diptera; Drosophilidae
Exons: 2
Source: RefSeq, a predicted model, not a curated record
UGUGUCAACUGAAAUCUUGCGUGUGGACAGAGAGUAAGGACAAAUAGGAGCAAUACUAUCCAGGAUAUUUUUAAAUUCAGCAUAAAUUCUACUGUAACUAGUAUUUUUGGCUACAAAGGAGUUUGACAGAAGCGACGCAGAUGGUAGUCCAUGAGCGAACGUUUUGGCCAACUCCUUCGCUGUAGCGAAUUUAAUCCUAUAAGCUGGAGGAAGUUCAGCUGCAAGAUUAUAAAUAAUAUUAAUUGGAGUCGAUUUAAUAAGUCCUAAGGCCUUUCUAAGGUGGAAAUUAGCAUGCUUAUUUAUAUUGUUUUGUACUGAUUUUGAUAUGUUUGAAAAAGAGGAGCAGGCGUAUUCAUAUCUAGUUCUAAUAAAUGCUUUAUAAAAGAGUAGUGACUUGCUUGGAUGUACUCCGAAGCGGCAACCACUGAGCAUUUGAAUAAACAUAUUCGUUUGAUUCGAUUUAGAGAUCGUUUUAUUUACAUGCUGAACAGACGAGUUGUUUGAACUUAUGACUCUACCUAAAUAAUUUAUACUAUUUACAUUUUUUAAAAUAAUAUUAUUGCACAAGAUACUUAAAGGUUUUUUUCUUAGAUUAAAAUGAAUGGUGGCUGAUUUGUCUGGAUUAAAACCAUCGAAAAGACUUUGUCAUAACAGACUAGAAAGAAGUCGUCAGCGUACUGGAACAGAAUACUGUCAUGGUCAUUACUUAAGCUGUGAAGCUCAGCUGUAUAUAAAUUAAAGAGGAUUGGACUCAGACAACUACCUUGACUAACUCCUUUGUUUACAGUUAUCUCUGCAGUACCCAUAGUGAGAACUCUUUUACUAAGGAAGUUUAUAAUGAAAUAAAUAUGAUUGUGGUCGAAA